Molecule: unclassified non-coding RNA, 389 nt
Filed under: Hevea brasiliensis (rubber tree)
Lineage: Eukaryota; Viridiplantae; Streptophyta; Magnoliopsida; Malpighiales; Euphorbiaceae
Source: RNAcentral
GUUUGUUUGUAUCCAAGAAACUUCGCGUUAAAGAAAAUGUAGUUAAUAACCCGUCGUGCAAGCCUCCCACUGGGGGCCAAUAUGCCAAAAGCGCGAAAAAAACCAUACUUUCCUUCCCUUUUUUCGCCCUCAUGUAGCCGGAGGGGGACACAGGGACAUAAAAAGGGGAACUAUCAAAACUUGUUCACAACAUUUCACAGGAGAUUCAAAUACAAACCACACACUUUCAAUACUAUCAACUUUACAUAGUUUCAUAGUAAAAAACACUUGUAAAAACAUAAGCUUUAAAUACUGUUUCAAAACACCUCUUUGGAUAGUUUUCCUUUUUUGGCCAUUGUACUGUUUUUGCCUAUUUUCCAAGGAUUGAUUUGAUCCACCAAAUUCCUUUG